This 491-nucleotide ribosomal RNA is filed under the name uncultured bacterium. RNAcentral's name for it is "partial 16S ribosomal RNA". It matches the Rfam family "Bacterial small subunit ribosomal RNA", at positions 29 to 507 of the family's 1533-position model. The record is from RNAcentral.
AGUGAACGCUGGCGGUAGGCCUAACACAUGCAAGUCGAACGGCAGCACAGUAAGAGCUUGCUCUUACGGGUGGCGAGUGGCGGACGGGUGAGGAAUACAUCGGAAUCUACUUUUUCGUGGGGGAUAACGUAGGGAAACUUACGCUAAUACCGCAUAUGACCUACGGGUGAAAGCAGGGGAUCUUCGGACCUUGCGCGAUUGAAUGAGCCGAUGUCGGAUUAGCUAGUUGGCGGGGUAAAGGCCCACCAAGGCGACGAUCCGUAGCUGGGCUGAGAGGAUGUGCACCCACCAGGGAACUAUAAAAGGGUCCAGCAUCGUACGGACGGCAGCGUGGGGGAUAAUUGGCAAUUGGCGCAAGCCUGAUCCAGCCAUACCGCGUGGGUGAAGAAGGCAUUCGGGUUGUAAAGCCCUUUUGUUGGGAAAGAAAAGCAGCAGGUUAAUACCCCGCUGUUCUGACGGUACCCAAAGAAUAAGCACCGGCUAACUUCGUG